UAGGGAAUCUUCGGCAAUGGGGGGAACCCUGACCGAGCAACGCCGCGUGAGUGAAGAAGGUUUUCGGAUCGUAAAGCUCUGUUGUUAAGGAAGAACGAGUGUGAGAAUGGAAAGUUCAUACUGUGACGGUACUUAACCAGAAAGGGACGGCUAACUACGUGCCAGCAGCCGCGGUAAUACGUAGGUGGCAAGCGUUAUCCGGAAUUAUUGGGCGUAAAGUGCGCGUAGGCGGUUUUUUAAGUCUGAUGUGAAAGCCCCCGGCUCAACCGGGGAGGGUCAUUGGAAACUGGUUGACUUGAGUGCAGAAGAGGAGAGUGGAAUUCCAUGUGUAGCGGUGAAAUGCGUAGAUAUAUGGAGGAACACCAGUGGCGAAGGCGACUCUCUGGUCUGUAACUGACGCUGAGGUUCGAAAGCGUGGGUAGCAAACAGG
RNAcentral lists this ribosomal RNA (430 nucleotides) under Bacteroidota bacterium. RNAcentral describes it as "Bacteroidetes bacterium partial 16S ribosomal RNA". It matches the Rfam family "Bacterial small subunit ribosomal RNA", at positions 355 to 776 of the family's 1533-position model. Lineage: Bacteria; Pseudomonadati; Bacteroidota. The record is from RNAcentral.